GUUUUUCUAAAUUAUUGGAAAAGCUUAUGUAUAAGAGGUUAAUUAGCCACAUAGAAAAAAAUAAAAUAUUAACACAAAAUCAGUAUGGUUUUAGGAAAAAUAGAUCUACUGAACUUGCAAUCAUUGAACUUGUUGACAAAAUCACCCAAGCAAUCGAUGAAGGAGAAUACACAAUAGGUAUCUUCCUCGACUUGUCAAAAGCCUUUGACACAAUUAAUCACAAGAUUCUGAUUCAAAAACUAGAACACUAUGGUAUACGCGGAAUAACAAGACAGUGGUUUGAAGAUUACUUAAAAAACAGAAAACAGAUUGUUAAAUAUAACCAAGUUAAAUCAAAAGCAAUGAUAAUUAAAAGUGGUGUCUCACAGGGGUCAAUUCUUGGACCAAUUUUAU
This is a non-coding RNA of Paramuricea clavata, 393 nucleotides long. The record is from the annotation of a GenBank genome assembly. NCBI's taxonomy places the organism in Eukaryota, Metazoa, Cnidaria, Anthozoa, Malacalcyonacea, Plexauridae.